UGGCGGGAGGGUGAGUAAUGUCUGGGAAACUGCCCGAUGGAGGGGGAUAACUACUGGAAACGGUAGCUAAUACCGCAUAACGUCGCAAGACCAAAGAGGGGGACCUUCGGGCCUCUUGCCAUCGGAUGUGCCCAGAUGGGAUUAGCUAGUAGGUGGGGUAACGGCUCACCUAGGCGACGAUCCCUAGCUGGUCUGAGAGGAUGACCAGCCACACUGGAACUGAGACACGGUCCAG
Molecule: ribosomal RNA, 235 nt
Filed under: uncultured bacterium
Lineage: Bacteria
Description: partial 16S ribosomal RNA
Rfam family: Bacterial small subunit ribosomal RNA
Source: RNAcentral